RNAcentral lists this ribosomal RNA (460 nucleotides) under uncultured bacterium. RNAcentral's name for it is "partial 16S ribosomal RNA". It matches the Rfam family "Bacterial small subunit ribosomal RNA", at positions 338 to 795 of the family's 1533-position model. The record is from RNAcentral.
CCUACGGGUGACAGCAGUGAGGAAUAUUGGUCAAUGGGCGCGAGCCUGAACCAGCCAAGUAGCGUGAAGGAUGACUGCCCUAUGGUUUGUAAACUUCUUUUAUAAAGGAAUAAAGUGAGGCACGUGUGCCUUUUUGUAUGUACUUUAUGAAUAAGGAUCGGCUAACUCCGUGCCAGCAGCCGCGGUAAUACGGAGGAUCCGAGCGUUAUCCGGAUUUAUUGGGUUUAAAGGGAGCGUAGGUGGUUUGUUAAGUCAGUUGUGAAAGUUUGCGGCUCAACCGUAAAAUUGCAAUUGAUACUGGCAGACUUGAGUACAGUUGAGGUAGGCGGAAUGCGUGGUGUAGCGGUGAAAUGCUUAGAUAUCACGAAGAACUCCGAUUGCGAAGGCAGCUUACUAAACUGUAACUGACACUGAUGCUCGAAAGUGUGGGUAUCAAACAGGAUUAGAUACCCUUGUAGUC